UCUUGUUUCAUUCUUGCAAGACAAAGAAACAAAACCACCUACCCUCUCUCCUUCUUAACCUCUGGAAACUUCAUGAAACCACCAUAAAUUUAUACUAAAUCAAUCAACAAAAUUCGUUUUUUGGUGAAGAUCAAGUUGCUCCUCUUUUUUGGGGUAUAUAAACCCUUCAAAAUUAAAGGGAAAGUGUUUGAGGAAGUGGACGGAUUUGGUUUGUUUACGGCGUAGACGAUUCGAACGUCCCCAAGUUGUGAUUGAACUAUUUUGUGGUAAUACACCAAGGUAAUGUACAAGAUUAAAUCUGAAGACGACCAUUAUGAAGUAGUCUUUUGGGAGCACUUAUGAAGAUCACAUUUGUAUAUGCACCUUGAUUUUGCAUAGUUUUGUGACAUGUAUAUGAUAUAUAUAUAUAUAUAUAUAUAUAUAUAUAUAUAUAUAUAUGUCACAUUUAUGUAUGUUAUUUGGAGGCUUGUUGGAUUUUAAGACCAAAAUCUUGUAACUUAAAUUUGGUAACUUGUUUUGCUAUUUUAGUGUGUGUUAAUAACUCAAGUAAAAGUAAUAUGCUGAAUUUACACUUUGUCUUGUAAAUAUGUACAAAGGAGAAAACUAGUUACCGUUUUAUAUACCCGAUAGUUUGAAAUUUAUGUACAAUACAAACU
Nicotiana tabacum (common tobacco) is the source of this 656-nucleotide non-coding RNA. The record is from RefSeq and is a predicted model, not a curated record. NCBI's taxonomy places the organism in Eukaryota, Viridiplantae, Streptophyta, Magnoliopsida, Solanales, Solanaceae.